Molecule: long non-coding RNA, 616 nt
Filed under: Homo sapiens (human)
Lineage: Eukaryota; Metazoa; Chordata; Mammalia; Primates; Hominidae
Description: HSALNT0184215
Source: RNAcentral
CUGGAACUGAGGUUAACGCUUCAGGGCACCUCAAGAUUUGAGCCGGUUUUUACAGCACCUUCUCUGCAGUUGAUCAGCAGGGCUGAAUCGCGAGUUUGGGAGAGGAGAUUUGUGGCUGGAACUGGCGCUCACAUUGGGGAGGGAAGACCUGCACCUUCAGCUCUUAGGCUGAGAGUCAGUAACACCACCAUAGCUUCUUGUCUUGCUUCUCUGACAUCUGUCCCUCAAGGGUGCCUUUGCAGCAUUACAAUAAUUGUGAGGAAGAGCAGGCAGAGUCUGCUCCAGCCUCCUUGUGCCUCAGUUUGUCCAUCUCUAAAGCAGCGCAUAUCUGAAAUUGGAUGGUCCUUAAGUUGGCGCUGCUGAGGAGGGGUUCAUGUGAAGUGCUCUGGGCUCCUGCUCACCAUUUCUAUGAUGUGGGUAACUUGCUCGACCCCUCUGUGACUCCACUUCUCACUUGUAAAUAAGGAUAGUAAUAGUACCUACCUCAGAGUGUCAUUGCAGGACUCCAACCAGAUACAUAUGUGUCCGGGGCUUAUAAUAAAAUCAUGGUUCAAUAAAUCUUAGUUCUUACUACGUGUGGUCAUUAUUCAGUCUUCACACUGAUCUCGUGAACUAG